Molecule: long non-coding RNA, 489 nt
Filed under: Pongo abelii (Sumatran orangutan)
Lineage: Eukaryota; Metazoa; Chordata; Mammalia; Primates; Hominidae
Description: lincRNA
Source: RNAcentral
GAUUCACAGGCCAAGACGUUGCCUUAGCGCAGCACUCCCCAUGUUGACGUGGAAGGUGGUAAUGGCAGUGAGCAAAAAAGUGAUCCAUGCACAGAUAAAUUUGUGAACGCCGGAUGAAACAAAGUUAAAAUAGGACCCAGCGGAUGAAGUGGACUGAACCACUGAAAUCUGAAACAUUGAUGAUCACUACAGCAAAGGGAAGAGCUCGGUAAAUUGUGCAUAUCGUUCUUGGAUCUUCCACCCAAAGUAACACUUUCACCUACAUUUAUUGGCCACAAGACAGGAUUGUGCCAUGUUGCCCAGGCUGGUCUGGAACUCCUGGACUCAAGUGAUCCACCCACCUCGACCUCCUAAAGUGCUGGGAUUACAGGCGUGAACCACUGUGUCUGGCCUCCGGGUGGUUUUAAGUGGGGACUUUUAUUUCUCACACAGUCUUCUGUAUAUUCUAUAUUUUCUACAAGAAAUAUAUAUUGCUUUUCUAAUCAGGAA